UAUAUUUUAGUGUAAUAGCACAGUAAUUUUUGAAGUUAUUAGAUUUUAAUAAAAUUAAAAAAAUAUAA
Molecule: transfer RNA, 68 nt
Filed under: Setodes iuppiter
Lineage: Eukaryota; Metazoa; Arthropoda; Insecta; Trichoptera; Leptoceridae
Description: tRNA-Gln
Source: RNAcentral